RNAcentral lists this ribosomal RNA (730 nucleotides) under uncultured bacterium. Its description in RNAcentral is "bacterial SSU rRNA". It matches the Rfam family "Bacterial small subunit ribosomal RNA", at positions 771 to 1501 of the family's 1533-position model. The record is from RNAcentral.
AACAGGAUUAGAUACCCUGGUAGUCCACGCCGUAAACGAUGUCGACUUGGAGGUUGUUCCCUUGAGGAGUGGCUUCCGGAGCUAACGCGUUAAGUCGACCGCCUGGGGAGUACGGCCGCAAGGUUAAAACUCAAAUGAAUUGACGGGGGCCCGCACAAGCGGUGGAGCAUGUGGUUUAAUUCGAUGCAACGCGAAGAACCUUACCUACUCUUGACAUCCAGCGAACUUGGCAGAGAUGCCUUGGUGCCUUCGGGAACGCUGAGACAGGUGCUGCAUGGCUGUCGUCAGCUCGUGUUGUGAAAUGUUGGGUUAAGUCCCGCAACGAGCGCAACCCUUAUCCUUUGUUGCCAGCGAUUCGGUCGGGAACUCAAAGGAGACUGCCGGUGAUAAACCGGAGGAAGGUGGGGAUGACGUCAAGUCAUCAUGGCCCUUACGAGUAGGGCUACACACGUGCUACAAUGGCGCAUACAAAGAGAAGCGACCUCGCGAGAGCAAGCGGACCUCACAAAGUGCGUCGUAGUCCGGAUCGGAGUCUGCAACUCGACUCCGUGAAGUCGGAAUCGCUAGUAAUCGUGGAUCAGAAUGCCACGGUGAAUACGUUCCCGGGCCUUGUACACACCGCCCGUCACACCAUGGGAGUGGGUUGCAAAAGAAGUAGGUAGCUUAACCUCCGGGAGGGCGCUUACCACUUUGUGAUUCAUGACUGGGGUGAAGUCGUAACAAGGUAACC